GGGGUGCAGGGAGCCCAGGAGGGGAGCCCUGGACCGGCACCCAACUGUGCUUCUCUCCUGCCCGAGCUGGGGGAGCCUCGGGAACCCCCAAACAGCAAACCAGCCCAACGUGGACGCUCUCCGCUGGGAUUUCGUUUUGGGGGAGCCGGAACACCUGUCCGCUGAUCGCCUGCCACUCCGCAUCUGGGCCCGGCUGACAGGCUUGUCUGCUUUGACUAAUGAUGUGAUUGAUGGACAAAAUAAGGAAGAACAUACAAAAAAACAUUUCUGUCUGGUCUGGUGUGUCAGCAAGCCUUCAUCAAGUGGCUGCUGAAGGCUAAACAUGUGGAAAAUGCCACAGAGCUGAUGCCAGGAUCAUCUCACUCAGCAAACCGAGUAUUCAUAACCUCGCUCCGAUGGCCUGCUGUGGAUGGGGUGACAUUCAUGAGAAUUACACAUGCCACGCUGUCGCCUCUUUGUGCAUAUAAUAAUGAUCUGAAAAUCAGUUCUGGCUGGAACACGAGGGAGGCAAAGAACUGCUUCACUCGGAUAACAAGACACGUGUGAGUUAGAGAUCAUGCUUAAAAACCAGAGAGAAAGUGGGGAAGUUCUUGGCCUGAUUUUUUCCCCUUCUCUUUCUUUAUUGGGCCACAGAAUUCCUACUUUAUUUUAUGUAAAGUAUUUGAAUUCUCCUUGAUAUUUAUUUUUCUUCCUUCUUUCUUUCUUUCUUUCCUUCCUUCCU
Long non-coding RNA from Neofelis nebulosa (Clouded leopard), 721 nucleotides. RefSeq lists it as uncharacterized. Lineage: Eukaryota; Metazoa; Chordata; Mammalia; Carnivora; Felidae. The transcript is spliced from 3 exons. The record is from RefSeq and is a predicted model, not a curated record.